This 845-nucleotide ribosomal RNA is filed under the name Pseudopeyronellaea eucalypti. Its description in RNAcentral is "partial 28S ribosomal RNA". It matches the Rfam family "Eukaryotic large subunit ribosomal RNA", at positions 72 to 935 of the family's 3401-position model. The record is from RNAcentral. Lineage: Eukaryota; Fungi; Ascomycota; Dothideomycetes; Pleosporales; Didymellaceae.
GGAUUGCCCUAGUAACGGCGAGUGAAGCGGCAACAGCUCAAAUUUGAAAUCUGGCGUCUUUGGCGUCCGAGUUGUAAUUUGCAGAGGGCGCUUUGGCAUUGGCAGCGGUCCAAGUUCCUUGGAACAGGACGUCACAGAGGGUGAGAAUCCCGUACGUGGUCGCUAGCCUCUACCGUGUAAAGCCCCUUCGACGAGUCGAGUUGUUUGGGAAUGCAGCUCUAAAUGGGAGGUAAAUUUCUUCUAAAGCUAAAUACUGGCCAGAGACCGAUAGCGCACAAGUAGAGUGAUCGAAAGAUGAAAAGCACUUUGGAAAGAGAGUUAAAAAGCACGUGAAAUUGUUGAAAGGGAAGCGCUUGCAGCCAGACUUGCCUGUAGUUGCUCAUCCGGGUUUUUACCCGGUGCACUCUUCUAUAGGCAGGCCAGCAUCAGUUUGGGCGGUUGGAUAAAGGUCUCUGUCAUGUACCUCCUUUCGGGGAGAUCUUAUAGGGGAGACGACAUGCAACCAGCCCGGACUGAGGUCCGCGCAUCUGCUAGGAUGCUGGCGUAAUGGCUGUAAGCGGCCCGUCUUGAAACACGGACCAAGGAGUCUAACAUCUAUGCGAGUGUUUGGGUGUCAAGCCCGAACGCGUAAUGAAAGUGAACGGAGGUGGGAACCUUUCGGGGUGCACCAUCGACCGAUCCUGAUGUCUUCGGAUGGAUUUGAGUAAGAGCAUAGCUGUUGGGACCCGAAAGAUGGUGAACUAUGCUUGAAUAGGGUGAAGCCAGAGGAAACUCUGGUGGAGGCUCGCAGCGGUUCUGACGUGCAAAUCGAUCGUCAAAUUUGGGCAUAGGGGCGAAAGACUAAU